GUCUAGGAUGGAAGAAUGUGGCAUCCCUGCGGGUAUGGAUGGGAGUUUGAUGAGCUUUGCUGUGUAUCCAGGGGCGAUGGAUGUUGGCGGGCUAGGGGCAGUGUCUCUUACCUUAGGCCUGCAGCAUAAUGAGGCUGCACAACAGCAGCAGCAGCAGAUUAGGAGGCACUUUGGGAGUCAGAUGGUACAUGAUUUUGUGGGUUGAUUUGUUAUGUUUUUGUUGGUUGAUUUGUUAUGCUUCUGUAUUUCCGAUGCUAGAUAGGUGGCUGAUGCAUCAAAUCGGUGUCGGCAAUCUCCAGCCAAUGAUGCCAAAUUUUGUGGGCAGAUAUACUGGUGGUGUCCAAAAAAUGUGAUGCAAUUUGUAUAAUUUGUGGGAGGGGUGAUCCUGUAUAUGGUGUUUCAAACAUGAUGCUAAAUAUUCCCAAUGAGUUGAUUAUA
Molecule: unclassified non-coding RNA, 438 nt
Filed under: Hevea brasiliensis (rubber tree)
Lineage: Eukaryota; Viridiplantae; Streptophyta; Magnoliopsida; Malpighiales; Euphorbiaceae
Source: RNAcentral